AGUGGCGCACGGGUCCUUAACACGUGGAUAUCUUCCCUCAGGUGAAAAAUAACCCCUCGAAAGAGGAGCUAAUAUUUCGUAAGGCCACAGAUACUUCGGUAUCAGGGGUAAAAGCUGGCCUCUAUUUAUAAGCUAGCACCAGAGGAUGAGUCCGCGCACCAUUAGCUAGUUGGCAGGGUAAUGGCCUACCAAGGCAAAGAUGGUUAGCUGAUCUGAGAGGAUGAUCAGCGACACUGGAACUGAGACACGGUCCAGACUCCUACGGGAGGCAGCAGUGGGGAAUAUUGCACAAUGGGCGCAAGCCUGAUGCAGCCAUGCCGCGUGUAUGAAGAAGGCCUUCGGGUUGUAAAGUACUUUCAGCGGGGAGGAAGGUGUUGUGGUUAAUAACCACAGCAAUUGACGUUACCCGCAGAAGAAGCACCGGCUAACUCCGUGCCAGCAGCCGCGGUAAUACGGAGGGUGCAAGCGUUAAUCGGAAUUACUGGGCGUAAAGCGCACGCAGGCGGUCUGUCAAGUCGGAUGUGAAAUCCCCGGGCUCAACCUGGGAACUGAUUCGAAACUGGCAGGCUAGAGUCUUGUAAGGGGGGUAAAAUUCCAGGU
RNAcentral lists this ribosomal RNA (600 nucleotides) under uncultured bacterium. Its description in RNAcentral is "bacterial SSU rRNA". It matches the Rfam family "Bacterial small subunit ribosomal RNA", at positions 94 to 674 of the family's 1533-position model. The record is from RNAcentral.